CAAUAGCGUAUAUUAAAGUUGUUGCGGUAAAAAAGCUCGUAGUUGGAUUUCUACCGAAGAUAGCCGGUCGGGUCUUCGACCUUGUAUCUGGUUUUGUCUUUGGUAUCCUCAUAGGGAACGUUUCUGCGCUUUAUUGCGUGGUGCGGUAUCUAUGACUUUUACUUUGAGGAAAUUAGAGUGUUCACGGCAGGCAAACGCCUUGAAUAUAUUAGCAUGGAAUAAUAACAUAGGAUCUUCGUCCUAUUUUGUUGGUUUCUAGGGCUAAGAUAAUGAUCAAUAGGGAUAAUUGGGGGCAUCUGUAUCAACGCGUCAGAGGUGGAAUUCUUGGAUUGCGUUGCGACAAACUACUGCGAAAGCAUUUGCCAAGGAUGUUUUCAUUGA
RNAcentral lists this ribosomal RNA (381 nucleotides) under uncultured eukaryote. RNAcentral's name for it is "partial 18S ribosomal RNA". It matches the Rfam family "Eukaryotic small subunit ribosomal RNA", at positions 592 to 976 of the family's 1831-position model. The record is from RNAcentral.